RNAcentral lists this ribosomal RNA (390 nucleotides) under uncultured eukaryote. RNAcentral's name for it is "SSU rRNA". It matches the Rfam family "Eukaryotic small subunit ribosomal RNA", at positions 587 to 972 of the family's 1831-position model. The record is from RNAcentral.
AGCUCCAAUAGCGUAUACUAAAGUUGUUGCAGUUAAAAAGCUCGUAGUUGGAUUUCUGCGCGGGUGGGGCGACCGGGUGCUUCAAAUGGCAUCUCGAGUCAGCAACGCCCGCGCAUCCUGCCACGAACCACGCUACCAUUCAUUUGGUGGCGUCUUGGGGACUGGCUCGUUUACUUUGAGAAAAUUUGAGUGUUCAAAGCAGGCAACUCGCCUUGAAAAUUGUAGCAUGGAAUAAUGAUAAAGGACUUUGGUUCUAUUUUGUUGGUGUUCGGGACCGAAGUAAUGAUUGAUAGGGACAGUUGGGGGCGUCUGUAUUCUGAAGCGAGAGGUGAAAUUCUUAGACCUUCGGAAGACAAACAGCUGCGAAAGCGUUCGCCAAGGAUGUUCCCU